GUGAACUUAAUUUUAGAGCAAUUCAAGUAAGGUACAGCCUGCUUGAAACAGGAUACAACCUAAAAAUGUGGGUAAUUAAAUCUUUCUGCCAUAAAGUGGGCCUAAAAGCAGCCACCUUUUGAAUAGCGUCACAGCUUAAUCACAUACAGAUUUAAUAACAAAAAUUUUACCGAACCCCACCCUACUACCAAGCAAUUCUAUAUUUUUAUAGAACUUUUUAUGUUAAAACUAGUAACAAGAAGAACCCCUUCUCUUUAAUGCAAGCAUAAAUCAGCCAGGACCAACCACUGAUAAUUAACACCUAUGAACUAAUAGUAACAACACUUCAAGAAAACCUUACUUCAUCUUAUGUUAACCUAACACAAGAGCAUUAUAAGAAAGAUUAAAAGAAAAAGAAGGAACUCGGCAAACAUUAACCCCGCCUGUUUACCAAAAACAUCGCCUCUUGAUUCUAAUAAGAGGUCCAGCCUGCCCAGUGACUUUGUUCAACGGCCGCGGUAUCCUAACCGUGCGAAGGUAGCGUAAUCACUUGUUCUUUAAAUGAGGACUAGUAUGAAUGGCACCACGAAGGUUAUACUGUCUCCUUUCUCUAAUCAGUGAAACUAAUCUUCCCGUGAAGAAGCGGGAAUAAACAUAUAAGACGAGAAGACCCUAUGGAGCUUUAAACAAGUAUACAACUGCCUUUCCUAUUUUUAAAUUUCAGAAAACAAACCAUUAUUCAGGCAUUUUGGUAUAAAGUUUUAGGUUGGGGUGACCACGGAGAAAAAUGUAACCUCCGCAAUGAACGGGGCUUCCCCCCUUAACUAAGAGCUACGACCCUAAGAAUCAAUAAAUUGACAUCAAUUGACCCAAUAAAUUUGAUCAAUGAACCAAGUUACCCUAGGGAUAACAGCGCAAUCCACUUCAAGAGCCCCUAUCGACAAGUGGGUUUACGACCUCGAUGUUGGAUCAGGGUAUCCUAGUGGUGCAGCCGCUACUAAUGGUUCGUUUGUUCAACGAUUAAAACCCUACGUGAUCUGAGUUCAGACCGGCUAUUG
RNAcentral lists this ribosomal RNA (1037 nucleotides) under Leptodactylus mystacinus (moustached frog). Its description in RNAcentral is "partial large subunit ribosomal RNA". It matches the Rfam family "Bacterial large subunit ribosomal RNA", at positions 966 to 2625 of the family's 2925-position model. Lineage: Eukaryota; Metazoa; Chordata; Amphibia; Anura; Leptodactylidae. The record is from RNAcentral.